This is a long non-coding RNA of Lutra lutra (Eurasian river otter), 1376 nucleotides long. RefSeq lists it as uncharacterized. The record is from RefSeq and is a predicted model, not a curated record. Lineage: Eukaryota; Metazoa; Chordata; Mammalia; Carnivora; Mustelidae. The transcript has 2 exons.
UUGAACUAAUAUCCUUCCAUGUACCAUUUUUACUAGUAGUAAGGUAACAUUAAAAGUAACAGUAAAGAAAUAGAUACUGAACACUUACUAAUUACAGAUUCUCUGCAGAACUAGGAUUCCAACGAUGGACCAUCUGACUACAGCCCCGCCCUCCUGCCGUGACUGACUUGGAGCCCAGAGGACAGCAGCCUUCCGUGUAAGGCCUCCAGCUGCGCGUUGUAAAGUAAAGCUUUCAGAUCAGCCCCCGUGAAGGAGUCGGUCACUGAGGCCACGUGCUGAAGGUCCACGUCAUCUGCCAGAGGUAGAGAGUCACUGAGAACGUUUAAAAUUUCAAGACGUGACACCUGAAGGGAGAAAAACUAAUUGACUUAACAAAUAAAAUGAAGUUAAAUUUUAUUUUAAACUGUAUUAUGAUUUUUUACAAAUUAACUGUAGUUCUAAUAAGCAUUACAAGCUGAAAAAUGUAACACUAAUCUACUCUCUCUCCUCUGGAGCUUUUUCCCUACCAGAAGAGACCGAGGAAAAUGAAUGAAAAUCACAGUGUAAAUCCUUAGUCAGAUCAUGCUUCUUUUCUAAGUUUCAGCAAAUGAGCCAAGAAAGUGUUUCAAAAGAAAUUUUAAGUAAUACCUACAAGUGACAAAUUCAUUAGCUUGUAAAUUUGGGGAUAGGAGGUGGGACAACAGACUAGGAACAGUUAAAAUCUUACCUCUCUGUAACCUGCUUGGACGCUCGCUAGUCAUAUGCUUAAUUCUUAAAAAGUCUUGCCAGAAUAAGGAGGUGUGUGACCUUUGGACACAGGGAACGUGGACAUGUGAAACUUAAAGUUUCCAUCCUUUUUUUCCAACCGGCCAACAGUGAGAGGCUACAAAGUUUCCAGACUGGCACGGAAACGGAAACGGAAACGCCUGGGCUUCGUAUCUACUUCGGAAUCUGCAACUAAGGCCCCGCCUAAAGCUGCUCUUCUACGGACAACUAUUACCAGGCAGAAGUAAAGCUCACAAGGCUAGCGAGUAGCAUUUGUUGGGUUUUAGACUGAGUGCAAUUGUCACCUGAUCCGGAGGAGGGCAGUAGACACAUCUAUCGAAUCGGCCAGGCCUCAGCAGGGCAGGGUCAAUCAAGUCAGGGCGACUAGUAGCAGCCAAUACGUAAACACCUGGGGGAAGAUAUUCUUUACUUAAAUCCUGGUGAAAUUAUUGUUACAAUAAGCUAUUUCUAUUUUUACGGUUAUUACCCUGUAAGCCUUCCACUCCAUCCAACUGAGUCAGCAACUGGUUAACCACGCGGUCUGUAACCCCUGUGUUAUCAUGGCCUCGCCGAGGAGCAAUGGAUUCAAAUUCAUCAAAGAAAAGAAUGCAGGGCUUGGCCGCCUGCGCUCU